CGGCCACUUGUAACCUACUGUACAGCAGAGUGACACCCACUUGCCCAUCUUUUUUUCCCCUUAUCCCAAAAGUGUUAUUUAUAAAUUACAAUCAACCAUUGUUGGUCGUCAUAACUAAUAGUGUGCGGGCCGUAUAAGGAAAGAGCUUAUUCAUACUUGUUAUUGUAGAUUGUAUUUAUCAAUAAUAUAAUAGCGAGUAGCCUAUGACCAUUUGGUCAAAAACUCCUGCAACCCGCGAAGCUUUUAUCUGUAUAAUAAUUGUAUUAUAAAUUAUAUGAUUUUUAUAUUACAAAAUAGGUAAAUUAAAGUAACGUUUUUUUUCCAGAAUCAACGAUACUAAGGUUUACUUGUCCCAAUUUAUGCGGAAAAUCAUACAAAGAUAAAGUAUCGGCUGCUCGACAUCUUAAAUACAAUUGUAAAAUGGAAACGAUGUUUGAAUGUUCGGUUUGCUUCAGAAAAUUCACUAAUAAACAAUCAAUGAAAAGACAUUCGAUACUGGUUCAUAAACUUUUUCCAAAGUAAAAUAUAAUAAUAGGUCUACAGAACAAAAAUUUUUUUGUCCAAACGACUGUGGAAGAACAUACAAAAACAAAAAAUCAGUUGGUCGACAUCUUAAAUUUGAAUGUGGAAUACAACCAAUGUUUAAAUGUUUGAUUUGCUACAAAAAAUUUGCAUUAAAAGAAAAUAUGAAAAAACAUUUGAUUAAUAAACAUAGUCAAUAUUAUUUAUAAUAAUAAUAAUAAUAAUAAUAAUAAUAUAAUUUAUCAUUACUCAUUUCUUCGAACAUUCGUUAAAUGGUAGGUACUCUACCUUGUUAAAUGGUAACUACUUACAAUGGCAAUUUUUUUAUAUCAUUAAGAACCUCCAAAAUAAAAUAGGACUGUAUUUAAAAAUAAUUAAAAAUACUUACUAAUGUAAUAAAAUAAAAUAAAUCUGUCAUUAUAAUUUCCCUAUUUUUAAUAUUUUGUAGUAGACAUUGAAUAAAUAUUAAUAUAAAUGUAUACAAACUAGUUUUGAAUAACUCAAAUAUUUCGAACAAAAAAUUUACUGAUAAUCAAUCAGAAGAGACAUGAAGAGACAUGUGGUACCUACUGAUUCAUAUAGACAUUUGAUACGAUAAAUAAUCACUACUAUCUAUAUAGAAUUAUAACACACUAAAUAAAUGUAAACACACUAUACCCUAAUAUCCAUUGUUGUUAAAGCGUUUUGAUAAAUAAAAAAUAUAUAUAUAAGUAUACUAUAUUAUUUUCGUUUGUCAGUUGUUGAAAAUGUUCGUACAAUUGUAUACCUAUAAACUCAUUGGUCAAGUAUACGUAAGUGCUUGAAUUAAUGGUAUAGUUGAAGUCCCGUUUCUUUUUUAUAAAUAUUUUAACGAAUCCCUUUAAAUGAUAUUCCAAUUAAUAAGAAAUUUAAAUCUUCCGGUACUCACGUUUAUUUUAAACUUUUGGACCACCGUUCUAAUCGUAUUCCAAGCUCAAGAACUGAUCAUACUAAUGGGGUAUAAAAUACAUCAUAACAUGUAUAACACAUGAAAUAUCUAAUAUUUUAAUAUAUUGGUACCUAUAAUAAGUUUAUAGGCUGUACCGGAUCUAGGGGGAGGGGCGAUCCUGGGCCCCGGGUGCUAAUCAUAGAGUGGCGCAAAUUUCAAAUUUUAAACUCCUAAAGCAUAUAGCAUUGAGGCGCUAAUAUUAUAUUGUGCCCCGGGUUACAUAAUUUGUAGAUCUGGUACUGUUUAUCUAUAGGUACUCUAAAGUAGCGGGUUCCAACCUCAUGUCACGACCAAAAUUUUGGAGCGGAGUAUUUUAUCAUGGGUCGCGACUAGCGAGUGCAUAAUUCACGUAUUUUUCCCAGAUCGAAGAAAAAAAUUGUUAUGAAUCUUAUAAAUAAUCAAUAAACUGAACAAAACGAAUCAAGAAUUUCUUGCCCUAACUACUGUGGAAGUUCAUACAAAAAUAAAUGCUCGAUUGGUCGACAUCUUAAAUUUGAAUGUGGAGUACAACCAAAAUUUAAAUGUCUUAUUUGCAACAAAAAAUGUACUGAUAAACAAUUAAUGAAGAGACAUGUGAUCCUGAUUCAUAGAUAUAUUUAGUACCUAAUUGAUAGAUAAAAUGGAAUCAAGAUUUGUAUGCCCCAACUACUGCGGAAGAUCAUACAAAAACAAAGGCUCUGUAAAUCAACAUCUUAAAUAUGAAUGUGGGGUACAACCACAAUUUAUAUGCCAUAUUUGCAACAAAAGAUUUGCAUAUCAUAAAACAAUGAGAAAACAUUUAGUUUUGGUUCAUAAAACUUUUGAUUAAUUUAUAAUUUAAUUAUAUUUUUUCAUACUUAAUUUUUGUGUAUUUAAUUUUUUAUUAUUAAAGGCAAUAAUACAUUGAAAAAAAAUCUCAAUGUACCUAUUGGUUUUCUUAUAGAUUUAUCCUAAAAAUAAUUAAUUCCUAUGCACAUUUAAUAUUAUCUAAUCGAAAAUUAAUAUAUAUAAUAUUAGGAUUUAGAAGGAUGUUAAAAAUUAAUUUUUUAACGAUAUUGUUACCCAGUGGCGGAUAUUAAGUAUUAACAGUAGUUUAGUCGGCAAAUUCCGAUGGAGCCCAUCUCUUAAUAUGCUUACGAGAACCACGUAAAUCAUAGAUAUAGUUAAUUAUUAUUUUAUUUUUACCACAUAAAAAAUAACACCUUUUAUAAUGCAAACUGCAAUAUAAUUUACCAUUGUUAGGUUAGGUUAAUAAAAACAACAAUUUCGUAAGUAUGCAAUUGACACGCAUUUUAGUACGAGAUCCCCAACUCCCUCCUAUGGAUUUACCGAUUUUAUUUGAACACUUGAAUCUACCGAUUGUGUUAUUUAUAAAAUAAGUAGGUAUGGUAUAUAGGUAGUACCUAUAUAGUACCUACCUAUACUAUACUUUAAAUAUUUAACUGAACUCAAUCAACUAUUUUAAAUCUAUACUACCUGUCAAUAAGAUAUCCCUCUUCUUUUUUAAACAUACUUCAGCAUUUUAGCGUAACCCCUUUUAAAUUUUACUAUCCUAAUCUAUAGACAUUCAAAUCUUCAGGUAUAAGUAUGCAAAUUUUUUGUUAUUUACCAUCACCCUUAUAUUUUGUUUCCAAUUUAAGCCCAGAUCAUGUAAAUAUGGAAUAUAAAAAUAUAACACGAUACCUAUUACCUAUAUAUAUUACGUAUACUCUAUAGUUAAUAUAGUACAUUCCAAAGCAAGUAUUGAAGUUGCUUAAGUAUUUUAAAUAUUAUAAUAUUUAUAAUUAAAGACGUACACAGAAAUUUCCAAUGGUAGCCUGUAGGGGGAGGGGGUUAUAUUAAAAUAUAAUGACAUAAAGUUUUAUAACAGCGUUUUCCACCCUACCCAGUGGCGGGCUGAACUUCAAUUUUAAAUGACGCAUUUUCAUAAUUAUGUACUUAACACCACCUCCAUCAUCCUAUUUUUACUUAUAACAAAGUUAUGAUGUUAAUAAAAUGUGAUCAAAAGAGCCAAGAGGUCAGGCUUUAGCAUGUAAUUCUGUGCCACAGUCACGGGGUGGCACCACCCCCUUUGAAAAGUUGACGCAACUGCGUCAAAAUUGACCACUUCGGCUUGCCACUGACCCUACCUCUAAACUUUUAUACCUACAUUACUAACAAAAUAUUUUAAAAGUAGUUAGCACCAAUCAAGACACAUAUCAAAAUAUAUUAACUAGUUACUUUUUUUCAGACACAUUGAAAUCAAGAAUUGUAUGCCCCAACAAUUGUGGAAGAUCAUACAAAAAUAAAUGCUCUAUUGUCCGACAUCUUAAAUUUGAAUGUGGUGUACGACCACAAUUUAUAUGUUAUAUUUGCCAAAAACAAUUUGUAUAUAAUAGAAAGUUGAAGGAACAUUUAGGUUUAGUUCAUAACAUUACAAAAUGGAACCAAGAUUUUUUUGCCCUAACAACUGCGGAAGAUCAUACAAAUAUAAAAGUUCUGUUGUUCGACAUCAUGAAUUUGAAUGUGAAUUACAAGACAAAAUGGAUCCAAGUUUUGUAUGUCCUAACCACUGCGGAAGAUCAUACAAAUAUAAACGUUCUAUUAAUCGACAUCUUAAAUUUGAAUGUGGAAUACAACCAAAAUUUAAAUGUCUUAUUUGCAACAAAAAAUUUACUGAUAAACAAUCAAUGAAGAGACAUGUGAUCCUGAUUCACAAAUAUAUUUAGUACCUAAUUGAUAGACGAAAUGGAUUCGAGAUUUUAUUGCCCUAACCACUGCGGAAGAUCAUACAAAUAUAAACGUUCUAUUAACCGACAUCUUAAAUUUGAAUGUGGAGUACAACCUCAAUUU
RNA transcript from Acyrthosiphon pisum (pea aphid), 4300 nucleotides. It is a transcript of the gene named zinc finger protein 586-like, with no coding region annotated. The transcript is spliced from 7 exons. Lineage: Eukaryota; Metazoa; Arthropoda; Insecta; Hemiptera; Aphididae. The record is from RefSeq and is a predicted model, not a curated record.